GAUGAACGCUGGCGGCGUGCCUAAUACAUGCAAGUCGAGCGAACGGACGAGAAGCUUGCUUCUCUGAUGUUAGCGGCGGACGGGUGAGUAACACGUGGAUAACCUACCUAUAAGACUGGGAUAACUUCGGGAAACCGGCGCUAAUACCGGAUAAUAUUUUGAACCGCAUGGUUCAAAAGUGAAAGACGGUCUUGCUGUCACUUAUAGAUGGAUCCGCGCUGCAUUAGCUAGUUGGUAAGGUAACGGCUUACCAAGGCAACGAUGCAUAGCCGACCUGAUAGGGUGAUCGGCCACACUGGAACUGAGACACGGUCCAGACUCCUACGGGAGGCAGCAGUAGGGAAUCUUCCGCAAUGGGCGAAAGCCUGACGGAGCAACGCCGCGUGAGUGAUGAAGGUCUUCGGAUCGUAAAACUCUGUUAUUAGGGAAGAACAUAUGUGUAAGUAACUGUGCACAUCUUGACGGUACCUAAUCAGAAAGCCACGGCUAACUACGUG
Molecule: ribosomal RNA, 497 nt
Filed under: uncultured bacterium
Lineage: Bacteria
Description: partial 16S ribosomal RNA
Rfam family: Bacterial small subunit ribosomal RNA
Source: RNAcentral